This is a long non-coding RNA of Papio anubis (olive baboon), 1910 nucleotides long. Lineage: Eukaryota; Metazoa; Chordata; Mammalia; Primates; Cercopithecidae. The record is from Ensembl.
UAUGUGUUCAGCAGAAAUCUAUCGUUCUUCUGAAUUCUUUUAUCUUUUUUUUUUUUGGUAUAUAGCCUAAAAAGUGUUUUGAUUGUGACUUGUGUGGUUUUGUGGGUUUGAGUUUUCUUUUUUAUUUCUUUUCUAUCUGCAAACUUAAAGCUUUCUCUACCCUCAAAGUUAAAAGGAAACUAGAACAAUGAUUAAGAUAUGAGUGAGUAUCUUUUUUUGCAACGAGUUUGCCGCCAGAACACAGGUGUCGUGAAAACUACACCUAAAAGCCAAAAUGGGAAAGGAAAAGACUCAUAUCAACAUUGUCGUCAUUGAACACGUAGAUUCGGGCAAGUCCACCACUACUGGCCAUCUGAUUUACAAUCAGUGGUGGAAGAACGGUCUCAGAACUGUUUGUUUCAAUUGGCCAUUUAAUGGAAACAACUUGACCAAAAAUUUGUCACAGAAUUUUGAGCCCCAUUAAAAAAGUUUAAUGAGAAAAAAAAAAGAUAUGAGUGAGUAUAUUUCCAUACAUUUUUUGUAUAGUAAGAACUACUUUAAGUUUAAAAUUAUUAGCUCAAUAAUUUUUACUUUUUGCUAGCAUUUUGUCUAUCAUUUCUCUACUUUGAUCUGCCAUUCUAUGUUCCUAGAAAUUUAUCUAUUUUUAUUUCCGGAAUUUUUAAUUUAUUCUAUAAUUUUUAUCAUUUCAUAGUAUUUCUCAAUUUCUCAAACAUUCUCUUAAUUCAGUUUCCUUCAGUAUCCAAGACUGGUUUUCACAGUCUUUUAAUUUCCUUAUGACAUUUUUUUAUUUCCAGGUGUAUUUUUCUUACAGCGUAUUGAACAGGUUUAUGACUACCUAUUCAAUAGUAUUUUGUUUUAUGUUGUUGGUAGUACAGUUUACAGAUGUUUACGUUUCUCCUAUUACUUACUUUUUUUUUUUUUUUCCGGAAGAGGGCCAUCUCCUUUGAUAGCUUAGAUAUGUCCCAUUAGUUUAAAUUGUUAUGUUCCUAUCUCCCAUGACUUCACUCUAUUUAUUCUGAAGUACAAAAGUCUAGAAUGUCUUAUAAUAAAACAGUAGUUUCUAAUUGAUAUGCUGUGUUUACCAAUAUCACUGAUCCUUUCGUUUUAUUCAAAAUUGUAUAGGUUUGUGUGUGUGUGUGUUUAUGUGAAUGUGUGUGUGACAGAGAGAGAGGGAGAAAAAGAGAGCUUGAGCAAUUACAGUUGCUAAAAUCUCCAAUAUUUUCCUCACAAUUAUAAAUUUUUUUUCUUUUUUCACUUGUUAGUGCCACAGAGCAGUCCAAUUUCAGUGUGAUAAGUAUUAUUUUAAGAAAUAAUUUUUUUCUGCAUAGAUUCUGCAAUGUUUUUAAUAUAUUCUUGAAAACCAUAUUGUUCACGGGGGCACACUGGUUGUUAGUCAUUCUUUGAUUUUGCCUGUUGCUUCAUGAGUUCUUGCUAUUAUCUAAUUGAUUUGUUUGCUUAAUAACAUCUUCAUUAUCUUUCUUACUAUUUAUUAUUCCAGCUCCAUUUGUUUGGCUCAGUUUUUCAGGGACAUUAAUUAUUUGUUACAUUGUUUUCUGCUUUUUUAAGUUUUAUCUCAUUUUCAUCUAUUUCUCCAUUUUCUACAUCUUAUGGGAGAGCACUUCAAGCCUUUCCACGUAAAUUUUCUAUUUUAGGCAGAGUCAGAGUCAAAUCCAAGCUUUAUUGUUCUCAGUAAAAAUUUUGUUUUUGCUAUUGCAGUUCACUUUCAUUACAAUAUUUUCCUAAUUACACAUAGCACCCUGUUUGUGCCUACAUUUUUUUAAGGACUGCCCAAAAUCUAAUUUUAUUUUUGCAUUCUUUAUAAAUAAAAAGCAACCAAUAACCAUUUUCCUCUUAGAUCCAACUUCAAUGACCAUAUUUUCAGGAACUACUGAAAGAUUUCAAGUAUGUUG